UGGGGAAUAUUGGACAAUGGGCGCAAGCCUGAUCCAGCAAUGCCGCGUGAGUGAUGAAGGCCUUCGGGUUGUAAAGCUCUUUCGCACGCGACGAUGAUGACGGUAGCGUGAGAAGAAGCCCCGGCUAACUUCGUGCCAGCAGCCGCGGUAAUACGAAGGGGGCUAGCGUUGUUCGGAAUUACUGGGCGUAAAGGGCGCGUAGGCGGUGUGUCAAGUCAGGCGUGAAAGCCCCGGGCUCAACCUGGGAACAGCGCUUGAGACUGGCACGCUCGAGUUCGGGAGAGGAUGGUGGAAUUCCCAGUGUAGAGGUGAAAUUCGUAGAUAUUGGGAAGAACACCGAUGGCGAAGGCAGCCAUCUGGACCGACACUGACGCUGAGGCGCGAAAGCGUGGGGAGCAAACAG
This 403-nucleotide ribosomal RNA is filed under the name uncultured bacterium. RNAcentral describes it as "bacterial SSU rRNA". It matches the Rfam family "Bacterial small subunit ribosomal RNA", at positions 355 to 775 of the family's 1533-position model. The record is from RNAcentral.